GCUGAUUAGCUCGCCGACACACCCGGAUUAAAACCCCAACAUAUAUACCCCAACAAACCUUUAAAAAAAUCAACAAACCAUUUUUCCUCCUUAGUAUAGGCGAUAGAAAAGGAAAUACCGAGCAAUAGAAAAAGUACCGUAAGGGAAAGCUGAAAAAGAAGUGAAACAAGUCAUUCAAGCCUUGAAAAGCAGAGACAGAACCUCGUACCUUUUGCAUCAUGAUUUAGCUAGUAAAUCCGAGCAAAGAGCACUUUAGUCCGGACCCCCGAAACUAGACGAGCUACUCCGGGACAGCCUAACAUAGGGCCAACCCAUCUCUGUGGCAAAAGAGUGGGAAGAUCCCCGAGUAGAGGUGACAAGCCUACCGAGUUUAGUUAUAGCUGGUUGCUUAAGAAAUGAAUAGAAGUUCAGCUCUAUGGGCCUCUCAAUACCCUUAAGGUAAAACUAAUUUUGUUUACAAGAGCCCAAAGAAGUUAAUCAAAAGAGGUACAGCUCUUUUGAACAAGGACACAACCUUAACAGGUGUUUAAGGAUCAUAAUUACUAAGGCACCUGUUACAGUGGGCCUAAGAGCAGCCACCUAUGUAGAAAGCGUUAAAGCUCAGACAGAUACCAGCUCUUAUUCUGAUAGACAUCCCAACCCCUAAUAUUAUUAAGCCCUUCCAUUCCCAUGGAAAAGAUUAUGCUAAAAUGAGUAAUAAGAGGGAACAACCCUCUCCUGGCACCUGUGUAAGUCGGGCCGGACCCCCCACCGAUUCUUAACGAACCCAAACCAAGAGUGUAUUGUAAACCCAAACAAGAAAAAUCUACAUAAACCAAUCGUUAACUCCACACUGAUGUGCACCCAAGGAAAGACCUAAAGAAAGAGAAGGAACUCGGCAAACACAAGCCUCGCCUGUUUACCAAAACACCGCCUCUUGUCUCCCAAACAUAAGAGGUCCCGCCUGCCCUGUGACUAUACGUUUAACGGCCGCGGUAUUUUAACCGUGCGAAGGUAGCGCAAUCACUUGUCUUUUAAAUGAAGACCUGUAUGAAUGGCAUCACGAGGGCUUAGCUGUCUCCUCUUUCAAGUCAAUGAAAUUGAUCUGCCCGUGCAGAAGCGGACAUAAGAACAUAAGACGAGAAGACCCUAUGGAGCUUUAGACACCCGGCAGACCCUGUUAAAUAACUGAACUAUCAGAUUAAAACAAAGCGGCCCCUGGCCUACAUGUCUUCGGUUGGGGCGACCACGGGGGAAAACAAAGCCCCCACGAGGAUUAAGGAAAACCUCCUUAUAACCACGAGCGACAGCUCUAAGUCUCAGAACUUCUGACCAAAAAGAUCCGACACCAGUCGAUCAACGGACCAAGUUACCCUAGGGAUAACAGCGCAAUCCCCUCCCAGAGUCCCUAUCGACGAGGGGGUUUACGACCUCGAUGUUGGAUCAGGACAUCCUAAUGGUGCAGCCGCUAUUAAGGGUUCGUUUGUUCAACGAUUAAAGUCCUACGUGAUCUGAGUUCAGACCGGAGUAAUCCAGGUCAGUUUCUAUCUAUGAAGUAAUCUUUCCCAGUACGAAAGGACCGGAAAGAUGAGGCCCCUGCAAAAGUAUGCCCCACCCCCACCUAAUGAAAACAACUAAAAUAGACAAGGGGGCACGCCACAACUGCCGAAAAGAACCGCGC
Esox lucius (northern pike) is the source of this 1660-nucleotide non-coding RNA. The record is from Ensembl. NCBI's taxonomy places the organism in Eukaryota, Metazoa, Chordata, Actinopteri, Esociformes, Esocidae.